UUUACCGGAGGCUUUAUGGAUCCCGAUCCCACCCCGCUUCCCUUAACGGGAAUUCUGUUCCGGUAAGCACGCCUUUUGUCGCUGCUUUACCGGAUGCGUAAGGCAGUGACGCAAC
The sequence is a regulatory RNA element, 115 nucleotides long. It matches the Rfam family "Magnesium riboswitch aptamer (Magnesium responsive RNA element)". From Rfam's summary of the family: The Magnesium sensor RNA element is a cis-regulatory element that regulates the expression of the magnesium transporter protein MgtA. It is located in the 5' UTR of this gene. The element adopts different structures depending on the presence or absence of Mg2+, this has the affect of regulating whether transcription reads through the mgtA coding region or stops within the 5' UTR. The record is from Rfam.